RNAcentral lists this ribosomal RNA (1144 nucleotides) under Aeromonas hydrophila. RNAcentral's name for it is "partial 23S ribosomal RNA". It matches the Rfam family "Bacterial large subunit ribosomal RNA", at positions 1 to 1190 of the family's 2925-position model. Lineage: Bacteria; Pseudomonadati; Pseudomonadota; Gammaproteobacteria; Aeromonadales; Aeromonadaceae. The record is from RNAcentral.
GUUGUAUGGUUAAGUGACUAAGCGUACAUGGUGGAUGCCUUGGCAGUCAGAGGCGAUGAAGGACGUACUAACCUGCGAUAAGCCGUGAGCAGUCGGUAAGAGACAUUACGACUCACGGAUUUCCGAAUGGGGAAACCCACUUAGCAUAAGCUAGGUAUCGCUGCGUGAAUACAUAGCGUAGCGAGGCGAACCGGGAGAACUGAAACAUCUAAGUACCCCGAGGAAAAGAAAUCAACCGAGAUUCCCUCAGUAGCGGCGAGCGAACGGGGAUUAGCCCUUAAGCAUCUUGGAAGUUAGUGGAACGGUCCUGGAAAGGCCGGCGAUACAGGGUGAUAGCCCCGUACACGAAAACAACCUUGAUGUGAAAUCGAGUAGGGCGGGACACGUGACAUCCUGUCUGAAUAUGGGGGGACCAUCCUCCAAGGCUAAAUACUCCUGACUGACCGAUAGUGAACCAGUACCGUGAGGGAAAGGCGAAAAGAACCCCUGUGAGGGGAGUGAAAUAGAACCUGAAACCGUGUACGUACAAGCAGUGGGAGCCCUUCGGGGUGACUGCGUACCUUUUGUAUAAUGGGUCAGCGACUUACAUUUUGUAGCGAGGUUAACCGUAUAGGGGAGCCGUAGGGAAACCGAGUCUUAACUGGGCGUCUAGUUGCAAGGUGUAGACCCGAAACCGGGUGAUCUAGCCAUGGGCAGGUUGAAGGUUGAGUAACAUCAACUGGAGGACCGAACCCACUAACGUUGCAAAGUUAGGGGAUGACCUGUGGCUGGGGGUGAAAGGCCAAUCAAACUCGGAGAUAGCUGGUUCUCCCCGAAAGCUAUUUAGGUAGCGCCUCGGACGAAUACUACUGGGGGUAGAGCACUGUUUGGGCUAGGGGGUCAUCCCGACUUACCAACCCCAUGCAAACUCCGAAUACCAGUAAGUAAUAUCCGGGAGACACACGGCGGGUGCUAACGUCCGUCGUGAAGAGGGAAACAACCCAGACCGCCGGCUAAGGUCCCAAAGUUCUGGUUAAGUGGGAAACGAUGUGGGAAGGCUCAGACAGCUAGGAUGUUGGCUUAGAAGCAGCCAUCAUUUAAAGAAAGCGUAAUAGCUCACUAGUCGAGUCGGCCUGCGCGGAAGAUGUAACGGGGCUCAAACCAG